Herpailurus yagouaroundi (jaguarundi) is the source of this 725-nucleotide long non-coding RNA. RefSeq lists it as uncharacterized. The transcript is spliced from 3 exons. The record is from RefSeq and is a predicted model, not a curated record. Lineage: Eukaryota; Metazoa; Chordata; Mammalia; Carnivora; Felidae.
AGGGGUGUCACAGCACCUAGGAACAACAUGGCAACCAAGCAAGGCUAUUCCUCAGGAAAACUGUAAGGUAACAGCCAGUAUCAGUUGCCAAACACAUGAGUGAAGAAGCCUUCAUAUUAUUCCAACUCCAGCCUUAGAGCCUUCUAGCUGAGGCCCCUUCAUCACAGUAGAGGAGGAAAUGAGAGAAUAAGGCUUUUGUGUGGAGAGACCAAGAAGGCAUGGGUGUGUAUUUGAAGAAUAGACACGUUCGGAACCUAUUGGAUUCAGGUCACAGAUGUCAAGGACCCAUUCUUGAAGAGUUGUUUCAGUGUAAGUCUGCUCCCCCCCCAUAAAAUUCCAGAGGACUCUGGAGACAGUCACUAUUCAGUGACCUUUCUAUCCCUAUCAACUGACUAUCCAGUCAUCAGUUGAGUAGGAACUCCAAACUGUGUAUUCUCAGAACCCUUGACCACAGGCUUUCCACUUGAGAGAUGAGGCAUAGCAACACCCUGCCCUGCCAUGAUCCUAUCCAUGCCACAAUGUUUAGCAGCCCCAGGAAAACUCCUCAGAAAACUGAAGUGACCAUUCUGGGAACCCAGCAAGGUUUGGCUUACUUUUACAUCAUGAAGAAAUAAAGCAUUAUAGAGCACCAAAAACCAGGGCAGCUAGAGGGCUCAUCCAUGUCACAAGUGCAGAUUUUAGACACAGGUGAGAUAGGAGGUAAUGAGAAUUCCUAAGGAAAUGCA